GGUGAACGCUGGCGGCGUGCUUAACACAUGCAAGUCGAACGAAGCACUUUAUUUGAUUUCCUUCGGGACUGAUUAUUUUGUGACUGAGUGGCGGACGGGUGAGUAACGCGUGGGUAACCUGCCUUGUACAGGGGGAUAACAGUUGGAAACGGCUGCUAAUACCGCAUAAGCGCACAGCAUCGCAUGAUGCAGUGUGAAAAACUCCGGUGGUAUAAGAUGGACCCGCGUUGGAUUAGCUAGUUGGUGAGGUAACGGCCCACCAAGGCGACGAUCCAUAGCCGACCUGAGAGUGUGACCGGCCACAUUGGGACUGAGACACGGCCCAAACUCCUACGGGAGGCAGCAGUGGGGAAUAUUGCACAAUGGGCGAAAGCCUGAUGCAGCGACGCCGCGUGAGCGAAGAAGUAUUUCGGUAUGUAAAGCUCUAUCAGCAGGGAAGAUAAUGACGGUACCUGACGAAGAAGCACCGGCUAAAUACGUG
This 481-nucleotide ribosomal RNA is filed under the name uncultured bacterium. RNAcentral's name for it is "partial 16S ribosomal RNA". It matches the Rfam family "Bacterial small subunit ribosomal RNA", at positions 28 to 507 of the family's 1533-position model. The record is from RNAcentral.